AAGUUUGAAUUUUACUUUUAAGUGAGAAGGCUUAAAUUUUUUAGAGGGACGAUAAGACCCUAUAAAGCUUUACAUUGUAGUUUUAUUUAAUUAAAUUUAAAAUAAAAGUUUAAUAUAGGUAUAUGUUUUAUUGGGGAGAUAGAAGUAUAAAUAAUGUUAACUGCUUUAAUAAGAGACAUUAAUUUAUGUAAUAAUAAUUUAAGAGAUCUUGGAUGAAUAUAGAAAGAAAGAAUAAGUUACUUUAGGGAUAACAGUGUAAUUUUUUUUGAGAGUUCAUAUCGAAAAAAAAGUUUGCAACCUCGAUGUUGAAUUAAAAUAUCUUUAUAAUGCAGCUGUUAUAUAAGGAGGUCUGUUCGACCUUU
Molecule: ribosomal RNA, 362 nt
Filed under: Parathelphusa maindroni
Lineage: Eukaryota; Metazoa; Arthropoda; Malacostraca; Decapoda; Gecarcinucidae
Description: partial 16S ribosomal RNA
Rfam family: Bacterial large subunit ribosomal RNA (bases 247-362)
Source: RNAcentral